Molecule: ribosomal RNA, 782 nt
Filed under: uncultured Planctomycetota bacterium
Lineage: Bacteria; Pseudomonadati; Planctomycetota
Description: bacterial SSU rRNA
Rfam family: Bacterial small subunit ribosomal RNA
Source: RNAcentral
AUGCAAGUCGAACGAGUCUCUGGGGGGUAACUCCUAGAGGAAAGUGGCGAAAGGGGCAGUAAUGUAUGGGUAACCUACCUUGAGGUCUGGGAUAGCUAUUCUAACGGAUGGGUAAUACUGGACGGCCUGAGUUGUCGGCAUCGAUGAUUUAGUAAAGGUUACGCCUCGAGAGGGGCCCAUAUGAUACUAGCUAGUUGGUGAGGUAAUGGCUCACCAAGGCAAAGAUGUCUAGCGGGUGUGAGAGCACGACCCGCGUCACUGGCACUGAGACACUGGCCAGACUCCUACGGGAGGCUGCAGUCGAGGAUCUUCGGCAAUGGACGAAAGUCUGACCGAGCAACGCCGCGUGUGCGAUGAAGGCCUUCGGGUUGUAAAGCACUGUCGAGGGGAAACAAGCCGUAAGGUUGAGUGACCCCUGGAGGAAGCACGGGCUAAGUUCGUGCCAGCAGCCGCGGUAAGACGAACCGUGCAAACGUUAUUCGGAAUCACUGGGCUUAAAGGGCGCGUAGGCGGGUAAUCAAGUCAAUGGUGAAAUCCUCCAGCUUAACUGGAGAAGUGCCUUUGAUACUGGUUGUCUAGAGGGAGGUAGGGGCAUGUGGAACUUCAGGUGGAGCGGUGAAAUGCGUAGAUAUCUGAAGGAACGCCAGUGGCGAAAGCGAUGUGCUGGACCUCUUCUGACGCUGAGGCGCGAAAGCUAGGGGAUCAAACGGGAUUAGAUACCCCGGUAGUCCUAGCCCUAAACUAUGGGUACUAGAUUGUGGACUUUCAUGGGUUCACAGUCG